Molecule: RNA transcript, 3568 nt
Organism: Tribolium castaneum (red flour beetle)
Lineage: Eukaryota; Metazoa; Arthropoda; Insecta; Coleoptera; Tenebrionidae
Exons: 7
Source: RefSeq, a predicted model, not a curated record
CCGCUAUACUUUAAGUUCAUUUGAGGGGUGAAAAAUAUUUCAAGAAAAAUAUUCAACGUUGUGUUGUUUAAGUGAAUUGUUGUUGCUGAAGAAGAAAAAAAUGUUUGCAAAAAAUUCAUGAUUUCUGAAAAAAGUCGAUCGCUUAUGUCUCUAAAGAAGUCAUCACCGAAGCAUAUCAAAGAGAGCUGGAUGCUGUCAAAGCAGAAGAAGUCGACGUUGUAAUACUAUCACAAUCGCCGUUAGCGUAGCCAUCAUCGUCGCCAUCAUCGUCGUAACCAUCGUCGUCCCUACGAUGACUAUCGUCGCCAGCCUCACCGUCGCCAGCCUCACCGUCGCCGCCAUUACCAUCGCCGUCACCAUCACCAUCACCACCACCACCACCACCAUCACUACCAUCCUCAACAGUUCCAUUAAAUUCUGCAGUAUGUCAAGGUGGCUUUGUUUCGGUGCUUCAGGCAGUUUCAAUGAUGGAAUCUGAUCUUGAAAAAACGGCACAUGAAACAAACCCCGGUUCAUUACAAACUGUACUUCUAAUAACCCCUGCGGAAUGGUCGGAUUGAGCAAGCGAUGAACCAAUUUUGUGAUAAGAUCGAGAAAGAUGAAAGCGCAAAAAUGGAACGGGCGACAUAUGAUGAAAAAUAGCAUCUCAUCCAGGAAAUUGUUUAUCCGUUGUCGGAUAGCAAAAUUGUUUCAAUCGGCAUCCAACCACUAAAAAAUUAUAGGCCAGUGCUAAAAAUUCACAACGCUGACCUAUCGGGUGUAAUAACUUUGUCGCUGGAAACUUUCAUCGAAUUUAUAAAAGAUGUGAGUAAGGUGUUAGAUUCAGAAGCGGAAUUAGUAAAGGAAGGUCAGCUUUUUUGCCUAUUGAGUGAUUAUGUGAUGAUUAUGUCGAAACAGAGUACCGUGCAAUUUGUUCCCAGGUGACCAUCUGUGUAUACAAAUUUAUACUUAUCAAUUACAAGUCUAAGACCAAUAAUCAAAAUGAGUGAUCACUUUUUAAAUAUUUUACAUGCGCGAAGGAUUCAGCACAAGUGUUUUCCCUGUUAUAAAAAUUUCAUUAACACUGUUACUUUGGCUAUGAUGUCCAAGAAUAAUAAUACGUAUGAUGAAAAACUUUUUAGUGUGAUUAAAGAACUGUACGAUGAUAAUGGCGUAUUAUAUGAAAUCAUAUUAAAGCUACCUUAAGUGUUAAGAGGGAUGUGAAUAAUAAGAUUGCUUAUUAUUAUCAGGGCUCAUAAGAUGUUUAUAAUUGUAUUUAAGAAUUAAAUAAAUGUUUAAACCCAUAUAAUUGAUUUAUAAUAAGAGACUAGAUAAAAAGGUGUGCCUAUGUAUGUGCCCAUGUAGAGAGAGAGAGAGAAAAUAGCGUCUAAUUACUUUGGUGCCAUAGGUUUACUAGUAAACCUUAAUAAACUUAAUUUAGUAAACCUUUUAAGAUCAUUAGCAUUAUUUUUCACUGAAAAUGGUAUGUCGUCAUCCCUUUAGCUAUGUGACCAUAAUUUCUAUUUAUUAGUGGAGCCAUUUGGAUAAGCAAUUAUGGACAUUAAAAAGUGACAAGUGUUUAGUUUACGAUAGGUACAAGGAAAAAAUGUAGAAGGGUUGGUUGUCUAAAUAAAAGCACCCGAAAUUUCUUGUUAUUAUUUCUUCAUCUCAACUCUUGUCUUGUGCAUCGUGUCGUGCUGUCGUAUGUGUAUGUGUAAUGGAAUCGUUUACGGAAUAUUUACAGUCGCUUACCAUAACAAACAUAUUGCAUAUGUUUCAAUACAGAACGCUGAAGUCGGCAAAUUAUUUAAGAAGUGCUGUAAAUUGUGUGAACUCAAAAAUAAUUUUUGAAAGUGGCUCAUUAAAUGAGUUGGAAAAAACUCUUUACGCAGCCUUGGUGGACAAGCUGCGUUUAUAUGAAAAUCAAGAGAAACAAAAUAUUUCAACGACAAAUUCAUUCACAACUCAAGCUGAUAAGAUGUUGAACAAUAGCGUUGAAGAAAAUGGUUCGUUUCAAGGACGUUCUAACCUCCUUGAUAUGAAUAAUUUCUAUAUCGAAAAUUUCACUCUUCAAUCACCUUGUAAUAACCGUGUUAUCGAAGGAGAAGAAGAGAUUGAUUACGAAAAUCUGGUACCAUCGACAUCUAAGCAACAUAAUACAUUAAACUUGUCGAAUCAAGAACGUGGCGGUGGAAGUGUCAAUAACAUUCGACGAAAUUCAACGAUGCCCCUGUAUCUACAUAACAAUUCAAGUAGUAAAGGCGGCACAUUUGUGAGGGCCCAAUCAACCACCUGUCUCAUAAAGAAUAAGAUUUUUAAGAUAUGUGCGCUGUACUUUUUACAUUGCGGUAUAUGGUUUCACAAAAGGGUCCCAUUAUGCACCUGUCAUCAUAACAAUAUAUCUUGUCCGUGGAAUUUUAAGUGACGCUGUACUUUUACAUCGCUGCAAUAUGGUUUCAACUGUACUUUAAGUUUCCUAUAAAAGGCUUGAAAAAUUCAAGAGAAAUACUCAUUGUUGUACUGUUCAAGUGUGUUUUUUCCGAAGAAGAUCUCCUGUCUCCUGGUUAAAAUUCAAGAUGACUGGAAAACGUAUCUCUCUAACUCUAUUGAAAAAAUCGGCUCCUAAGCGUCUGAAACCGCAGGAAGUCAUCGAAAAAGCGACGGUACCACUUCCAUCAACUUCUUCUGCAGUGAAAUCUAGGGCACUUGUUAGUUCUCCAAUUCCUAGUUACACGCCCCAAGAUGUAAUAACCCCUGACGAAUGGUCUGAUUCAUCGUUGGGGCAGUCGUUGAUCCAGCUGUUUGAUAAAGUGGAAAAAGAUGAAAGGGAAAAACUGGAGUGAAUGAUAGCUAAUGAAAAACAUCGUCUGAUCCGCGAGACUGUGUACCCGAUAACAAGGUCCGGCAGUAAGUUUGUAUCAAUUGGGGUUAAACCGCUCGAAGAUUAUCGUCCAGUGCUGAAGAUUCAUAACAUCAGCAGCAAUUUUUUCGAUGGAUACUUUUACCGAAUUUGUGCAAGACAUGCGUAAAGUGUUGGAGUGCGGGCUCGAAUCAGUGCUGGAGGGACAAAUUUUCGCCGUAUUAAGUGAUUACGUGGCUAUAAAGUGUAAACAUGUAAAUUUUUACCGACGUUACUGUCUGUGUAUAAAUGUUUAUUCUUAUCAAUUGAGACCAUUAGAGUUUUGACAAAAAUGGAUGAUCACUUAUUAAAUGUUUUACAAGGACGAAAGAUUCAGUACAAAAGUUAUCCCUGUUACAGUAGUUUUAUAAAUAAUGUUGCUUUAGAAAUGUUGUCGAAGGACCCAUCUAAAUUUAAUGAAACACUUUUUGAUGUAAUUAAAAUAGGUACGAUGAUAAUGGUGUAUUGUAUGAAAUAAUAUUAAAAAUGCCUGUUAAUGUUAAAACGGACGUAAAUGCUAGAGUUGCUUAUUAUAGAGACCACAAUGACUAUAACUGUUUGUAAAAUUACCAAUAAUAGAAAAUACAUGUUUAAACAAAAAAAAAGCUUACCUUUUUACCCUUUAUAAAUCAUACAGUAUGAUUAUUCUUGUGUUAGUAUUAAACGGUAUUAUAACACGAUUAAUUGCAA